GGAAGAGCAAGUAGCAAUGAAAAGGCUGACGCUGCCCAGCAGGAAUACGGCAGCAUGUGGUUGUGAGUCCAAACUGCCUACUGGUUGGAAGGAAAUGGGGGCGGGGAAUCCUAAUCCUAACGGGAAAAGGCAGACGCGCCCUCUCCUGGCAUCUCGGAAGAAUUCUGUUUCACUUUCUAGACCGCCAGCUCGUCAGGCUCCGCCUGCCGGAUCUUUGACAUCAAUCACCCUUGAGUUAACCUCCAGAACUGGGCAGAGGGGUAGCGUGUCAGUGCCCGCCCCCACACGUAAUUCCCGAGUGUCCCUCCUGCGUCUGUUAGGGGUGCCUGGGCUCCUACAGAGCCCACAGGGGGGUGUAGCCACAGGUGCUCUGCUAUGUGACUGGCUCCCUGCUCCUCUUCUCCACUGGUGCCAGACCAUACUUGCUCCAACAUGGCCAUCUAAGAAGAUGAACCAGGAGAAUGUGGUGAGCUGA
This 475-nucleotide long non-coding RNA is filed under the name Lynx canadensis (Canada lynx). RNAcentral describes it as "lncRNA (ENSLCNG00005003012.1)". The record is from RNAcentral. Lineage: Eukaryota; Metazoa; Chordata; Mammalia; Carnivora; Felidae.